GUAUAUGACCAUACUACCCUGAACAUGCCUGAACUGGUCUGAUCUCUGAAGCUAAGCAGGGUCAGGUCUGGUUAGUAGUUGGAUGGGAAAAUGGAUUAAAAAAAAAAAAAAUUAGACCCACCUAUAUU
Molecule: ribosomal RNA, 128 nt
Filed under: Neogale vison (American mink)
Lineage: Eukaryota; Metazoa; Chordata; Mammalia; Carnivora; Mustelidae
Source: RNAcentral